This 385-nucleotide unclassified non-coding RNA is filed under the name Hevea brasiliensis (rubber tree). The record is from RNAcentral. Lineage: Eukaryota; Viridiplantae; Streptophyta; Magnoliopsida; Malpighiales; Euphorbiaceae.
CCCUCGGCAGGCACCCUCACAAAGGACUGUUUGCCUACUCGCUUCAUAUUACCUAAUUAUGGAGGAAUACAUGACGAAGUCAACUACCCCUCACGACUUUCUAUUUAUAAAAUACAUUAAAUAGUGGUACUCUCAGAAGAGAAAGAGGUAACCAUUUGAAAUGAAAAAAAGAAAGCAAGCAUACAUUCCUCAACUACUGAUCUAUCUGUUUAUGAGUAGAAUCUAUUGGAUGCCCGUUUACGAUGCUUAUAUCGAAAGUUUUGACCACGGCUCAGGAAACCAAAAGAAUAAGAAAUCCUCCCAUUCCUUGAUGAAAUAUCCAUUUAGACCAUUUAGGGUGGGCCUAUAUGACUCCAUAGGUAUAGCAUCAUAUGGUCUCCCCGCG